This 917-nucleotide ribosomal RNA is filed under the name uncultured marine bacterium. RNAcentral's name for it is "bacterial SSU rRNA". It matches the Rfam family "Bacterial small subunit ribosomal RNA", at positions 56 to 970 of the family's 1533-position model. The record is from RNAcentral.
UGCAAGUCGAACGAGAAAGUUCCUUCGGGAGCGAGUAAAGUGGCGGACGGGUGAGUAACGCGUAGGAAUCUACCUUUCAGUGGGGGAUAGCUCGGGGAAACUCGAAUUAAUACCGCAUACACCCUUCGGGGGAAAGGGGGCCUCUCCUUGGAAGCUCUCGCUGUUAGAUGAGCCUGCGUGAGAUUAGCUUGUUGGUAAGGUGAUGGCUUACCAAGGCUACGAUCUCUAGCUGGUCUGAGAGGACGAUCAGCCACACUGGGACUGAGACACGGCCCAGACUCCUACGGGAGGCAGCAGUAGGGAAUAUUGGACAAUGGGGGCAACCCUGAUCCAGGCAUGCCGCGUGUGUGAAGAAGGCCUUAGGGUUGUAAAGCACUUUAAGUGAGGAAGAAAAGAUUUAAAUUAAUACUUUAAGUCCCUGACAUUACUCACAGAAUAAGGACCGGCUAACUCCGUGCCAGCAGCCGCGGUAAUACGGAGGGUCCAAGCGUUAAUCGGAAUUACUGGGCGUAAAGCGCGCGUAGAUGGUUUAUUCAGUUGGGUGUGAAAUCCCUGGACUCAACCUAGGAACUGCAUUCAAAACUUAUAAACUAGAGUACGAAAGAGGAGAGUAGAAUUCAUGGUGUAGCGGUGAAAUGCGUAGAGAUCAUGAGGAAUACCAGAGGCGAAGGCGACUCUCUGGUCCGAGACUGACAUUGAGGUGCGAAAGCGUGGGUAGCAAACAGGAUUAGAUACCCUGGUAGUCCACGCCGUAAACGAUGAGAACUAGCCGUUGGAUCUUUAGAUUCAGUGGCGCGGCUAACGCAUUAAGUUCUCCGCCUGGGGAGUACGGCCGCAAGGCUAAAACUCAAAUGAAUUGACGGGGGCCCGCACAAGCGGUGGAGCAUGUGGUUUAAUUCGAUGCAACGCGAAGAACC